RNAcentral lists this ribosomal RNA (626 nucleotides) under bacterium enrichment culture clone aHCH4_E3. Its description in RNAcentral is "bacterial SSU rRNA". It matches the Rfam family "Bacterial small subunit ribosomal RNA", at positions 45 to 668 of the family's 1533-position model. The record is from RNAcentral.
AGCUUACACAUGCAGUCGAACGGCAGCACGGACUUCGGUCUGGUGGCGAGUGGCGAACGGGUGAGUAAUGUAUCGGAACGUGCCCAGUAGCGGGGGAUAACUACGCGAAAGCGUAGCUAAUACCGCAUACGCCCUACGAGGGAAAGCAGGGGAUCGCAAGACCUUGCACUAUUGGAGCGGCCGAUAUCGGAUUAGCUAGUUGGUGGGGUAACGGCUCACCAAGGCGACGAUCCGUAGCUGGUUUGAGAGGACGACCAGCCACACUGGGACUGAGACACGGCCCAGACCCCUACGGGAGGCAGCAGUGGGGAAUUUUGGACAAUGGGGGAAACCCUGAUCCAGCCAUCCCGCGUGUGCGAUGAAGGCCUUCGGGUUGUAAAGCACUUUUGGCAGGAAAGAAACGUCGUGGGUUAAUACCCCGCGAAACUGACGGUACCUGCAGAAUAAGCACCGGCUAACUACGUGCCAGCAGCCGCGGUAAUACGUAGGGUGCAAGCGUUAAUCGGAAUUACUGGCCGUAAAGCGUGCGCAGGCGGUUCGGAAAGAAAGAUGUGAAAUCCCAGAGCUUAACUUUGGAACUGCAUUUUUAACUACCGAGCUAGAGUGUGUCAGAGGGAGGUGGAAUC